Molecule: RNA transcript, 2109 nt
Organism: Odobenus rosmarus divergens (Pacific walrus)
Lineage: Eukaryota; Metazoa; Chordata; Mammalia; Carnivora; Odobenidae
Gene name: E3 ubiquitin/ISG15 ligase TRIM25-like
Exons: 8
Source: RefSeq, a predicted model, not a curated record
AUGAAGGCAGCCAUCGGAUCCCAAGAGAUGGAGAGGGCUGGGGUGGGGGCACACAGGACUGAGGGGGACUCUCCCAACAGCUGGUGGAGUGGGACCAGGGCAAGACGCCUGCACCUGAUGCCCGGGGGUUCUGUUCUCUCCUAUCCCAGGGCAGCCGAGCCUCUAGCCCUCCCUGAUGUGUAGAAGGUUUCACGGCCAGCCCAGGACCACAACCCAGCCCUGCAGCCCCCUGCCCAGCCCUCAAGACAUCCCCAAACCCAGCUCCUGAUGAGUAACAGCAGUCUCCGCACAUUCGAGGACCAAGUCCUCUGUCCCAUUUGCCUGGAUGUGUUCCACAACCCGGUCACCACCGCCUGUGGGCACAACUUCUGCAUGCCCUGCCUCCAAGGUUUCUGGGACCACCAGGCCUCUGUGGGAAAGACCCCCUACUGCCCCCAGUGCCGAGAGAGCUUCCCCUCCAGACCGCGCCUCUGCAAGAACUGCAUCCUGGAGGAGAUGGUGACCUGCUUCACCCAGGCCAAGGGCCAGACCUUGGGGUCCUCCCGGAUCCUGGCGGGGCCCAGGGACGUGCCCUGCGACUUCUGUUCUCCGCAGAAGCUCAAGUCAGUCAAGUCCUGUCUGCAGUGCAUGGCCUCCCUGUGCGAGAAGCACCUGCGCAGCCACUUCGAGGACCAGGAGUUCCAGGACCACCAGCUGCUGGAGCCCGUGUGGGACCUCCAGAGCCGCCUGUGCCGGAAGCACCGCAAGCUGCGGGGGAUGUACUGCCGCACGGAAGGCUGCUGCGUGUGCGGGGCCUGCCUGCUGGAGGAGCACAAGAACCACGACACCCUCCCCCUGGAGGAGGAGCGGGCCCGCAAGGAGGUGGAGGUUCAGAAGGUCCAGGCCAAUGUGGAAAACCAGAUGCUGAUCAUCAACUCUCACAGCCAGAAGCACCGAGGGCAGGUGGCCUUUCUCUCGAAACUGAUCCAGACAACACGUGAGGAGGUGAACACCUGCUUCUCAGAGAUCAUCCAGGAGGUCAGACAGCUGCAGAUGAAGGUCUUGGAUUUUGUGGCGAAAGAGGAGGCCGCUGCUCUGGGGAGGCUAGGCAGCUCCAUCCAGCAGAGCCACAACCGGCUCCUGAAGCUGGAGGAGGACAGCAUCUGGCUCCGCACCCUGCUUACCAACAGGAGUGACCAGCAGUUUCUGCAGGAGUUCCCCAGGCUGAAGCACUUCCCUGCCUACGUGGAACCGCUGAUGGGAACCAACUGUGAGGAGAAGCAGACCUUCCUCCAGUUGCCAGAGACUCUGGCGGAGCUCCGCAGCCAGCUGAUGGAUGUGGGUCUCAGCUUCAUCAAUCAGCUCCUCCUGAAGGGCAUUAAGAUGAACUCCUAUGAGGUGCUGCCCCCGGCUGUGGACAGAAAAACACUUCUCAAGUGUUACUGCAACCUGAACUUUGACCCCACCACGGCCAGCGAGGAGCUGUUCCUGUUCAAGGAGACCCACUCGGUGCUGAACCUGAGCAUCCUGCUGGAGCCCUUCGCCACGGGCGGCUCCUUCCCGGGCUGCAAGCAGUGGUCGCAGGUGCUGUGCUCCCGCGCCCUGUCCGAGGGCCGCCACUACUGGGAGGCCGACGUGUCCAACUCGUGGGUGUGCUUGGGCCUCACCUACCGCCGCAGCCCCCCGCCCGGCGGCCGCUCGCGCCGCAACGUCGUCUAUCUGCUGGGCCGCAACCCCUACUCGUGGUGCCUGGAGUGGGACUCGCUCAAGCUCUCCGUGUGGCACAACAACACGCAGACGGUGCUGCACGGCGGUUACCACCGCACGCUCGGCGUGGCGCUCGACUGCGGCGCCGGCUGCCUCUCCUUCUACUGCGUGGCGGGCGGCGUGAGCCUGCUCUACCGCUUCCUCGUCUCCUUCCUGGAGCCGCUCUACCCAGCGGUCAUGGUCAGCAGCGGCGCCUCGGUCACGCUCAAGCAGCACGCGGAGGCGGAGGCGGAGGCUGGUCCCGGCACCGGGGGCCCAGGGAAGUGUUCCCGAAGGCCCUGUGGCCUGAAUGGGCGGGGCUUGGAGCAGACGGCUUCUCUCCGCCCCUCCCCCGCAGGUGACCCGGCUGAGAGUGGCACCUAA